Molecule: ribosomal RNA, 253 nt
Filed under: uncultured bacterium
Lineage: Bacteria
Description: partial 16S ribosomal RNA
Rfam family: Bacterial small subunit ribosomal RNA
Source: RNAcentral
AACGUAGGUGGCGAGCGUUGUCCGGAAUUACUGGGCGUAAAGGGCGUGUAGGCGGUCUUCUAAGUCAGGCGUGAAAGACCAGGGCUUAACCGUGGGAUUGCGUUUGAGACUGGAAGGCUUGAGGAUCGGAGAGGGCAGUGGAAUUUCCAGUGUAGCGGUGAAAUGCGUAGAUAUUGGGAAGAACACCAGUGGCGAAGGCGGUCUCCUGGGGCAUUCUUGACGCUGAGGCGCGAAAGCUGGGGGAGCAAACGGG